AUACGUAGGGGGCAAGCGUUAUCCGGAUUUACUGGGCGUAAAGGGAGCGUAGACGGAAGGCCAAGUCUGAUGUGAAAGCCCGCGGCUCAACUGCGGGACUGCAUUGGAAACUGGUCAUCUGGAGUGCAGGAGGGGUAAGCGGAACUCCUAGUGUAGCGGUAAAAUGCGCAGAUAUUAGGAGGAACACCGGUGGCGAAGGCGGCUAUCUGGACAGUAACUGACGCUGAGGCGCGAAAGCACGGGGAGCAAACAGGAUUAGAUACCCUGGUAGUCCGUGCCGUAAACGAUGAAUACUAGGUGUAGGGGGUAUCGACUCCCUCUGUGCCGCAGUUAACACAUUAAGUAUUCCACCUGGGGAGUACGGCCGCAAGGUUGAAACUUAAAGGAAUUGACGGGG
Molecule: ribosomal RNA, 397 nt
Filed under: uncultured bacterium
Lineage: Bacteria
Description: partial 16S ribosomal RNA
Rfam family: Bacterial small subunit ribosomal RNA
Source: RNAcentral